CCCCAAGAGUCCACAUCGACGGGGAGGUUUGGCACCUCGAUGUCGGCUCAUCACAUCCUGGGGCUGUAGUAGGUCCCAAGGGUUGGGCUGUUCGCCCAUUAAAGUGGUACGCGAGCUGGGUUCAGAACGUCGUGAGACAGUUCGGUCCCUAUCCGUCGCAGGCGUAGGAAAUUUGAGAAGACCUGUCCGUUAGUACGAGAGGACCGGGAUGGACGUACCUCUGGUGUACCAGUUGUCCUGCCAA
Molecule: ribosomal RNA, 244 nt
Filed under: Clostridioides difficile
Lineage: Bacteria; Bacillati; Bacillota; Clostridia; Peptostreptococcales; Peptostreptococcaceae
Description: partial 23S ribosomal RNA
Rfam family: Bacterial large subunit ribosomal RNA
Source: RNAcentral